Molecule: transfer RNA, 74 nt
Filed under: Mus musculus (house mouse)
Lineage: Eukaryota; Metazoa; Chordata; Mammalia; Rodentia; Muridae
Description: tRNA-Ser
Source: RNAcentral
GGAGAGAUGGCUCAGUGGUUAGGAGCACUGACUGCUUUUCCAGAGGUCCUGGGUUCAGUUCCCAUGUGGUUACA